AUCGCAACACAUUGAAACCCUUGUGUAACGCUAGCUUAAGUUACAAUUGUCAAACGAUUCGUUUUAGGCGGAACAUAUAUUGUCAUUAAAUUAGAACACGGUUGAAUGAUUUGUUUCCUAAACUGCGGAAUAAUUAUAUCUGCUUCUCUGGGAUCCAUCCAAGAACAUUUUGUCCUGACUGGGAGCACUACAACUGGAAGGAUUAAGAAAGCUGGUGACCAAUCCUUACUAAG
Long non-coding RNA from Nerophis lumbriciformis (worm pipefish), 233 nucleotides. RefSeq lists it as uncharacterized. Lineage: Eukaryota; Metazoa; Chordata; Actinopteri; Syngnathiformes; Syngnathidae. The record is from RefSeq and is a predicted model, not a curated record.